CCAGCAGCUGCGGUAAUUCCAGCUCCAAUAGCGUAUAUUAAAGUUGUUGCAGUUAAAAAGCUCGUAGUUGGAUUUCUGGUAGGGUGCCAAUGUCCGCCGCCGUGCGUGCGCAGCGGCGCCCUUCCAUCCUUGUGUCAACGCCUCUUGGCAUUCGUUUGCUGGUGGCGGGCUCACAUAUUUUACCUUGAGAAAAUUAGAGUGUUUCAGGCAGGCUAGGCCGGAAUACAUUAGCAUGGAAUAAUGGAAUAGGACUACGGUCUCUUUGUUGGUUGAGGGGCUGCAGUAAUGAUUAAAAGGGACUGCCGGGGGCAUUGGUAUGGCGGGGGUAGAGGUGAAAUUCGGUGAUCCUCGCCAGACCGACUACAGCGAAAGCAUUUGCCAAGAAUGUCUUCAUUAAUCAAGAACGAAAGU
This 411-nucleotide ribosomal RNA is filed under the name uncultured eukaryote. Its description in RNAcentral is "SSU rRNA". It matches the Rfam family "Eukaryotic small subunit ribosomal RNA", at positions 567 to 990 of the family's 1831-position model. The record is from RNAcentral.